Molecule: ribosomal RNA, 280 nt
Filed under: uncultured bacterium
Lineage: Bacteria
Description: partial 16S ribosomal RNA
Rfam family: Bacterial small subunit ribosomal RNA
Source: RNAcentral
AACGAACGCUGGCGGCAUGCCUAACACAUGCAAGUCGAACGAGACCUUCGGGUCUAGUGGCGCACGGGUGCGUAACGCGUGGGAACCUGCCUUUAGGUUCGGAAUAACUCAGAGAAAUUUGAGCUAAUACCGGAUAAUGUCUUCGGACCAAAGAUUUAUCGCCUUUAGAUGGGCCCGCGUUGGAUUAGCUAGUUGGUGGGGUAAAGCCUACCAAGGCGACGAUCCAUAGCUGGUCUGAGAGGAUGAUCAGCCACACUGGGACUGAGACACGGCCCAGACU